ACCGUGCAAAGGUAGCGUAAUCACUUGUCUCCUAAAUAGAGACCCGUAUGAAGGGCCCCAUGAGAAAGAAACUGUCUCUUGAAGAUAGCCAAUGAAAMUGAUCUGCCUGUGCAAAAGCAGGUAUAACACAACAAGACAAAAAGACCCUGUGAAACUUAAAAUAUAGCUAUCAACGAUAUGACAGUAUUUUUUGGUUGGGGCAACCAAAGAGAAACAAAACCUCUUAAAUACACAAGACCAACAAGUCCAAUUUAAAAAUUGACCCAGUAAAACUGACCAACGAACCAAGCUACUCCAGGGAUAACAGCGCCAAAUUCUUGAAGAGUCCACAUCAACAAGAAUUCUUACGACCUCGAUGUUGGAUCAGGAUACCCAAGCAGUGCAAAAACCGCUAAUGGUUCGUUCGUUCAACGAUUAACAUCCU
This 424-nucleotide ribosomal RNA is filed under the name Agama mossambica. Its description in RNAcentral is "partial 16S ribosomal RNA". It matches the Rfam family "Bacterial large subunit ribosomal RNA", at positions 1945 to 2597 of the family's 2925-position model. The record is from RNAcentral. Lineage: Eukaryota; Metazoa; Chordata; Lepidosauria; Squamata; Agamidae.